UGAGAGUCAGAGCGGAUGACGGGAGCUUGCUCCUUGAUUCAGCGGCGGACGGGUGAGUAAUGCCUAGGAAUCUGCCUGGUAGUGGGGGACAACGUUUCGAAAGGAACGCUAAUACCGCAUACGUCCUACGGGAGAAAGCAGGGGACCUUCGGGCCUUGCGCUAUCAGAUGAGCCUAGGUCGGAUUAGCUAGUUGGUGGGGUAAUGGCUCACCAAGGCGACGAUCCGUAACUGGUCUGAGAGGAUGAUCAGUCACACUGGAACUGAGACACGGUCCAGACUCCUACGGGAGGCAGCAGUGGGGAAUAUUGGACAAUGGGCGAAAGCCUGAUCCAGCCAUGCCGCGUGUGUGAAGAAGGUCUUCGGAUUGUAAAGCACUUUAAGUUGGGAGGAAGGGCAGUAAGCUAAUACCUUGCUGUUUUGACGUUACCGACAGAAUAAGCACCGGCUAACUCUGUGCCAGCAGCCGCGGUAAUACAGAGGGUGCAAGCGUUAAUCGGAAUUACUGGGCGUAAAGCGCGCGUAGGUGGUUUGUUAAGUUGGAUGUGAAAGCCCCGGGCUCAACCUGGGAACUGCAUCCAAAACUGGCAAGCUAUAGUACGGUAGAGGGUGGUGGAAU
This 617-nucleotide ribosomal RNA is filed under the name Pseudomonas sp. LT89. RNAcentral's name for it is "bacterial SSU rRNA". It matches the Rfam family "Bacterial small subunit ribosomal RNA", at positions 56 to 667 of the family's 1533-position model. Lineage: Bacteria; Pseudomonadati; Pseudomonadota; Gammaproteobacteria; Pseudomonadales; Pseudomonadaceae. The record is from RNAcentral.